RNAcentral lists this ribosomal RNA (410 nucleotides) under uncultured bacterium. RNAcentral's name for it is "bacterial SSU rRNA". It matches the Rfam family "Bacterial small subunit ribosomal RNA", at positions 362 to 770 of the family's 1533-position model. The record is from RNAcentral.
UAUUGGUCAAUGGUCGGGAGACUGAACCAGCCAAGCCGCGUGAGGGAGGAAGGUACAGAGUAUCGUAAACCUCUUUUGUCAGGGAACAAAGGCGGGGACGUGUCCCCGGAUGAGUGUACCUGAAGAAAAAGCAUCGGCUAACUCCGUGCCAGCAGCCGCGGGAAUACGGAGGAAGCGAGCGUUAGCCGGAUUUAUUGGGUUUAAAGGGCGCGCAGGGGGUCUGUUAAGUCAGGGGUCAAAGCCCGGGUCUCACCCCGGGCCCGCCGUUGAAACUGGCAGUCUCGAGUUGGAGAGAAGUAUGCGGAAUGCGCGGUGUAGCGGUGAAAUGCAUAGAUAUCGCGCAGAACUCCGAUUGCGAAGGCAGCAUGCCGGCUCCACACUGACGCUGAGGCACGAAAGCGUGGGUAUCG